AGUGAACGCUGGCGGCAGGCCUAAUACAUGCAAGUCGAACGGCAGCACAGCAGAGCUUGCUCUGUGGGUGGCGAGUGGCGGACGGGUGAGGAAUACAUGGGAAUCUGCCCAGUCGUGGGGGAUAACGUAUGGAAACGUACGCUAAUACCGCAUGCGCCCUACGGGGGAAAGCCGGGGACCGAAAGGCCUGGCGCGAUUGGAUGAGCCCAUGUUCGAUUAGCUAGUUGGCGGGGUAAAGGCCCACCAAGGCGACGAUCGAUAGCUGGUCUGAGAGGAUGAUCAGCCACACUGGAACUGAGACACGGUCCAGACUCCUACGGGAGGCAGCAGUAGGGAAUAUUGGACAAUGGGGGCAACCCUGAUCCAGCCAUGCCGCGUGAGUGAAGAAGGCCCUCGGGUUGUAAAGCUCUUUUGUCCGGAAAGAAAAGCAUUCGGUUAAUACCCGGGUGUUCUGACGGUACCGGAAGAAUAAGCACCGGCUAACUCGUGCCAGC
Molecule: ribosomal RNA, 494 nt
Filed under: uncultured bacterium
Lineage: Bacteria
Description: bacterial SSU rRNA
Rfam family: Bacterial small subunit ribosomal RNA
Source: RNAcentral